This 473-nucleotide ribosomal RNA is filed under the name uncultured bacterium. RNAcentral describes it as "partial 16S ribosomal RNA". It matches the Rfam family "Bacterial small subunit ribosomal RNA", at positions 355 to 813 of the family's 1533-position model. The record is from RNAcentral.
UGGGGAAUUUUGGACAAUGGGCGAAAGCCUGAUCCAGCAAUGCCGCGUGUGUGAAGAAGGCCUUCGGGUUGUAAAGCACUUUUGUCCGGAAAGAAAUCCUUGGCUCUAAUACAGUCGGGGGAUGACGGUACCGGAAGAAUAAGCACCGGCUAACUACGUGCCAGCAGCCGCGGUAAUACGUAGGGUGCAAGCGUUAAUCGGAAUUACUGGGCGUAAAGCGUGCGCAGGCGGUUUGCUAAGACCGAUGUGAAAUCCCCGGGCUCAAACCUGGGAACUGCAUUGGUGACUGGCAGGCUAGAGUAUGGCAGAGGGGGGUAGAAUUCCACGUGUAGCAGUGAAAAUGCGUAGAGAUGUGGAGGAAUACCGAUGGCGAAGGCAGCCCCCUGGGCCAAAUACUGACGCUCAUGCAACGAAAAGCGUGGGGAGCAAAACAGGAUUAGAUACCCUGGUAGUCCACGCCCUAAAACGAUGUC